GCGUGCCUAACACAUGCAAGUCGAACGAGAAAGUGGAGCAAUCCAUGAGUAAAGUGGCGACCGGGUGAGUAACACGUGACUAACCUGCCCUCGAGUGGGGAAUAACCCCGGGAAACCGGGGCUAAUACCGCAUAACAUCGCAAGAUCAAAGCCGAAAGGCGCUUGAGGAGGGGGUCGCGGCUGAUUAGCUAGUUGGUAGGGUAACGGCCUACCAAGGCCAAGAUCGGUAGCCGGCCUGAGAGGGCGCACGGCCACACUGGAACUGAAACACGGUCCAGACUCCUACGGGAGGCAGCAGUGGGGAAUUUUGCGCAAUGGGGGAAACCCUGACGCAGCAACGCCGCGUGGAGGAUGAAGUCCUUUGGGACGUAAACUCCUUUCGACCCGGACGAUACUGACGGUACGGGUGGAAGAAGCACCGGCUAACUCUGUGCCAGCAGCCGCGGUAAUACAGAGGGUGCGAGCGUUGUUCGGAAUUAUUGGGCGUAAAGGGCGCGUANGCGGUGCGGUAAGUCACCUGUGAAAUCUCCCGGCUCAACUGGGAGCUUGCAGGCGAAACUGCCGUGCUGGAGUGUGGGAAAGGUGCGUGGAAUUCCCGGUGUUACGGUGAAAUGC
RNAcentral lists this ribosomal RNA (615 nucleotides) under uncultured bacterium. RNAcentral's name for it is "bacterial SSU rRNA". It matches the Rfam family "Bacterial small subunit ribosomal RNA", at positions 42 to 689 of the family's 1533-position model. The record is from RNAcentral.